GAUGAACGCUGGCGGCGUGCUUAACACAUGCAAGUCGAACGGAAAGGCCCAAGCUUGCUUGGGUACUCGAGUGGCGAACGGGUGAGUAACACGUGGGUGAUCUGCCCUGCACUUCGGGAUAAGCCUGGGAAACUGGGUCUAAUACCGGAUAGGACCACAUUUUGGAUGGUGUGGUGGAAAGUUUUUCGGUGUGGGAUGAGCUCGCGGCCUAUCAGCUUGUUGGUGGGGUAAUGGCCUACCAAGGCGUCGACGGGUAGCCGGCCUGAGAGGGUGUACGGCCACAUUGGGACUGAGAUACGGCCCAGACUCCUACGGGAGGCAGCAGUGGGGAAUAUUGCACAAUGGGCGCAAGCCUGAUGCAGCGACGCCGCGUAGGGGAUGACGGCCUUCGGGUUGUAAACUCCUUUCGCUAGGGACGAAGCGCAAGUGACGGUACCUGGAGAAGAAGCACCGGCUAACUACGUG
Molecule: ribosomal RNA, 465 nt
Filed under: uncultured bacterium
Lineage: Bacteria
Description: partial 16S ribosomal RNA
Rfam family: Bacterial small subunit ribosomal RNA
Source: RNAcentral